Molecule: ribosomal RNA, 495 nt
Filed under: uncultured bacterium
Lineage: Bacteria
Description: partial 16S ribosomal RNA
Rfam family: Bacterial small subunit ribosomal RNA
Source: RNAcentral
GACGAACGCUGGCGGCGUGCCUAAUACAUGCAAGUAGAACGCUGAAGGAGGAGCUUGCUUCUCUGGAUGAGUUGCGAACGGGUGAGUAACGCGUAGGUAACCUGCCUGGUAGCGGGGGAUAACUAUUGGAAACGAUAGCUAAUACCGCAUAAUAGUAGAUGUUGCAUGACAUUUGCUUAAAAGGUGCAAUUGCAUCACUACCAGAUGGACCUGCGUUGUAUUAGCUAGUUGGUGGGGUAACGGCUCACCAAGGCGACGAUACAUAGCCGACCUGAGAGGGUGAUAGGCCACACUGGGACUGAGACACGGCCCAGACUACUACGGGAGGCAGCAGUAGGGAAUCUUCGGCAAUGGACGGAAGUCUGACCGAGCAACGCCGCGUGAGUGAAGAAGGUUGUCGGAUCGUAAAGCUCUGUUGUAAGAGAAGAACGAGUGUGAGAGUGGAAAGUUCACAAUGUGACGGUAUCUUACCAGAAAGGGACGGCUAACUACGUG